Molecule: long non-coding RNA, 920 nt
Filed under: Salmo salar (Atlantic salmon)
Lineage: Eukaryota; Metazoa; Chordata; Actinopteri; Salmoniformes; Salmonidae
Description: lncRNA (ENSSSAG00000112251.1)
Source: RNAcentral
CGAAGGGUCAAUUGUGACUGAAUUACUGAGCUACUAAUAAUAUUAAGUAGUUAUUUAUAAGUCAAGGUUACUCUAAAUCACUCUCGACUCGCCUUAAAAGUCAUCUGCAAUGUGGAACGUCCAACAAUUCAUUGACACAGUUGUGACUGACUCCUUCAUAGCCGUCGGCCAGCUCUUUCACAUCCACCAUCUAAUUGAAGUGAAAGGACAGAAAUGUUGAAAGUGUGUUUUCUGCAGCACCAGUAAGGACCGUUCUCCUAUGAUGUAGUCGACCCUAUCAGAAAACAUUUACUCACUUUUUGCUUUUAUACAAAAAAACAUGCCAUUUCUCCAUUUUGGUGAAAAGUGGGCCAUUAGCUAAACCACAACCUUCCUGUCCAAAGACCUUCAUGAACUACUGAAACUAUAUCUGACAGUUUGGGGAGGAAUUCAUUCUAACGGGUGAAAAUGAACCAGGUCUUUUCUGUGUAUGUGCCGGUCUUUAAGCAUAAAUGUAAAUAUAUAAAAUAUACUAAUAAUGCAUAUAGUCUCUGGUUAUCGGUGAUACUUCCCAUUCUGCACAAUUGUGACCUUUGACCCCUUGCACGUGGUCUUAAAUGUCCACAUUCUGGAUGACAUCCUGCCAGACUUUGUUGGUAUUUCACUGUUUGAUCUAGCAUGUGACUGUUUUUCCCCCCCAGCACUUGUCCCAUGUUGGCUGGCCUACUAUGCAGUUAAAUGGAAAGGUUUUUCCCCAGCACUUGUCCCAUGUUGGCUGGCCCACUAUGCAGUUAAAUGGAAAGGUUCUACAGAUGUAGACGUGACAUGUGAAUUGGGAUGAGGGGAAAUGACAAUCAAUGACAACUGAAAUAGCAAACAUUAUCUGUAUAUCGCUAUAUUUGUUCUUGUAGAUGUACUUUGAAUAUGUUUAAUAUGUGGGG